UGCAGUCUAACGGUGAUGUCAGAGCUUGCUCUGGCGGAUCAGUGGCGAACGGGUGAGUAACACGUGAGUAACCUGCCCCCGACUCUGGGAUAACUGCUAGAAAUGGUAGCUAAUACCGGAUAUGACGACUGGCCGCAUGGUCUGGUCGUGGAAAGAAUUUCGGUUGGGGAUGGACUCGCGGCCUAUCAGGUUGUUGGUGAGGUAAUGGCUCACCAAGCCUACGACGGGUAGCCGGCCUGAGAGGGUGACCGGCCACACUGGGACUGAGACACGGCCCAGACUCCUACGGGAGGCAGCAGUGGGGAAUAUUGCACAAUGGGCGAAAGCCUGAUGCAGCAACGCCGCGUGAGGGAUGACGGCCUUCGGGUUGUAAACCUCUUUUAGUAGGGAAGAAGCGAAAGUGACGGUACCUGCAGAAAAAGCACCGGCUAACUACGUGCCAGCAGCCGCGGUAAUACGUAGGGUGCAAGCGUUGUCCGGAAUUAUUGGGCGUAAAGAGCUCGUAGGCGGUUUGUCGCGUCUGCUGUGAAAUCCCGAGGCUCAACCUCGGGUCUGCAGUGGGUACGGGCAGACUAGAGUGCGGUAGGGGAGAUUGGAAUUCCUGGUGUAGCGGUGGAAUGCGCAGAUAUCAGGAGGAACACCGAUGGCGAAGGCAGAUCUCUGGGCCGUAACUGACGCUGAGGAGCGAAAGCAUGGGGAGCGAACAGGAUUAGAUACCCUGGUAGUCCAUGCCGUAAACGUUGGGAACUAGAUGUGGGGACCAUUCCACGGUCUCCGUGUCGCAGCUAACGCAUUAAGUUCCCCG
Molecule: ribosomal RNA, 805 nt
Filed under: Clavibacter sp. B35-PCA-PT2P21
Lineage: Bacteria; Bacillati; Actinomycetota; Actinomycetes; Micrococcales; Microbacteriaceae
Description: bacterial SSU rRNA
Rfam family: Bacterial small subunit ribosomal RNA
Source: RNAcentral